Molecule: ribosomal RNA, 543 nt
Filed under: uncultured bacterium
Lineage: Bacteria
Description: partial 16S ribosomal RNA
Rfam family: Bacterial small subunit ribosomal RNA
Source: RNAcentral
UGGGGAAUUUUGGACAAUGGGCGAAAGCCUGAUCCAGCAAUGCCGCGUGUGUGAAGAAGGCCUUCGGGUUGUAAAGCACUUUUGUCCGGAAAGAAAUCCUUGGCUCUAAUACAGUCGGGGGAUGACGGUACCGGAAGAAUAAGCACCGGCUAACUACGUGCCAGCAGCCGCGGUAAUACGUAGGGUGCAAGCGUUAAUCGGAAUUACUGGGCGUAAAGCGUGCGCGGGCGGUUUGCUAAGACCGAUGUGAAAUCCCCGGGCUCAACCUGGGAACUGCAUUGGUGACUGGGCAGGCUAGAGUAUGGCAGAGGGGGGUAGAAUUCCACGUGUAGCAGUGAAAUGCGUAGAGAUGUGGAGGAAUACCGAUGGCGAAGGCAGCCCCCUGGGCCAAUACUGACGCUCAUGCACGAAAGCGUGGGGAGCAAAACAGGAUUAGAUACCCUGGUAGUCCACGCCCUAAACGAUGUCAACUAGGUUGUUGGGGAUUCAUUUCCUUAGUAACGUAGCUAACGCGUGAAGUUGACCGCCUGGGGAGUACGGUCG